Molecule: long non-coding RNA, 2468 nt
Organism: Panicum virgatum (switchgrass)
Lineage: Eukaryota; Viridiplantae; Streptophyta; Magnoliopsida; Poales; Poaceae
Exons: 4
Source: RefSeq, a predicted model, not a curated record
GAAAUCCUCUGGGCAUAAAGUUCCAGAUGCUCUGGAAGAAUCUCAAGAUCAAGUUGCAAGAACUUCUGAUUAUGCCAUGCUAUCUCUGUUGAAAGACAUCUCAAGUCAGAACAAAUCUCUGCUCCCACACACAUAAGGAAAAUGAAAACUCAAUUGUCGGCACCCUUUUCAAUCCAAACGUGUAGAGUACAAUGGCAGUCCAGAGGUUAGUCUAAGAAUAAUAGAUACCAUCUUCCAUGAUGUGGUGUAGCAAGCUUCUUUGAAGGGCAUGACAUUUUAGUUGCUCCAUUAAAUCCUCAGCUUUUAUGCUUUACUAAAGAUUAUGUAUUUAGAUCCACUGACAAUUGGAUUGUGAACUAAGCAGUGUGGUGUAGUAGAUUGCAUGCCGAUAGGAGCCCCUUUAACCAUGGUGACUAAUAAUUUAAUGUUCCUUUAGGGUGCUCGCAUUCUUUUGAAACAGAUUUAAUGUUUCAAUUAUCUUUGCUCAUAUAUGUAUAACCUUUGCAGUAACCUGUAUUGUGUUUCAACUGAUUUCCAAUGUAUUCAGGACCUGCUGGCAGGGUGCCCGGAAGGCGGAAGCAACGCACGCUCAUCGACGAUUUCAUCCCCACCAUUGAGGGCAAGAAUGCCAUAUGCUACCCACAUCCGAAGAGGCUUCCUGGUUCAGGAACAAAGGAUUCUAAUUGGUAACUUUUGUGGUGCGUUUGGCGACCUCCGGUCACCAAGAGUAAUCAUUCAAGGGGUUCAUUGUCUCCUCUAAAUGGUCAUGGUAUGGUCGUAAGAUAUUAAGAGUACAAUCUGGUCUGGCACCAUUGGUUGAAGAAGAAAAUGUAUUUACCACUUGGUGAUGUGACAAACUCAACAGACCUCGUGUAUGGUCUUGGUCAUAAGAGAUUAAGAGUAGAAUCUGGUCUGGCACCAUUGUUUGAAGAAGAAAGCGUAUCUACCACAUGUGUAGCAACUCAAUUAUUUUUUAGUGUACCACACCAUUGGUUGAUUAUUCAACAAACCUCGGGUUUACAGUGUAUUUUUCAGAUAAAUAUAUGCUUGAAUUAUUUUACUAUUUGAUCUAGUUGUAAACCUAGUUGGAUAGACACUCCUUGUUUGUGAUUACCCCACUGAUGAUACAUAACCUAGGGUUAUAUUUAUCACUAGACAUGAUACUCUGUUUAUGCGAUCACUAGAACAUCUUUACUACUCUCCCAAUGCAAUUGUUUUCAAACAGGAAAAUGUGUGAGCGUGUUGUUGGUAUAAACAUGGGUUGGGAUUUUGGAAAAGUGUUAAUCAUGAACAACUAAGUGUUGGUGAUUACCUUGAGAUGGGGCGGAUCAGGGUUCCUUGUGUGAGACGACUGGGAGUUUUUGGCUCGUGCCUUUGUAGCUGAGUAAGGAAGAUCCACCUUAGAUGUAGCUUUGUCUCGUUUAAGGACCGAGUUGAUGUGCCAUCUUGCCUAACCCAAUUUAUUGUACAACCACUCGACCUUGUAUGUGGCAAGGGCUUAGUCUAAAUCCCACUAGCUAGUCUGUUAGUCGUCCGGAGGCAGGUGUACAGUGAGAGGCUAAGGAGCAGGCAUAAGCAAGUGUAGGCUUAUUAGUGGCUUGGUUGGAGACCUCGUUGGAAGGUUGUGAACUUCUUAGUUAGCUCUCGUAGACAGCUAAAAUGAUGAUGCUAUGGUGGAUAAUGACUUUGAUGGAUCCACGCUGGCACUAAGGAAUUCAUGUUGGGGUACCUUACUUGUGGGUAGAGUGUACACCUCUGCAGAGUUCAAAAUCUAUUCGAAUAGCCAUGCCCAUGGUGUGUGGAUGAGUUAUGGCUUGGUCACUUUGACUAGUUUUGGGAAUUAUGUAAACUCCCUUUGUGUGAGUAAAACGUGUGUGGAUUUUGGAAAUGCCGGCAAGUGGUGCCGUUUGCUGCUGUGGAUGGGGUAUCCGGUAGCAAUUAAAAUUUGGAUCCUUUGUGUAGGAUCGCCCCACUCUUUCAUACUUACUGUCACUAUGGCAACCAUUUGUUUUACGAAAACUGAAGUACUAGAUAAACCUUGCAUGUGUAUAAAAACUGGCUUUAUGCAAAAUAAACCUAGCCUAUCCCUUGAUUUACCCUUAUGCAUGCAUUCUUAAAUCCCCCUCCGUAGGGCGGGGUUGGAUUUGCUGAGUACGUUUAUACUCACCCUUUGUUGCUAUUACAAAGGAAGACCCGGACUUCGUCGCCAGUGAAGAUUUCGAGUAGUACGUCGCAUCUGCACCCAACUUGCCUAUGGCGUUGGGCUAAUAAUGAUGUUUUCACUGCCCGUAGCCUCGAGUGAUAUAUGCGGAUCUUACUAUCCAUAGCUAGCACUCUUGGUUUGUUGUGGUUGUUGCUAUUUUAAUUUGGUUUUGGAUCACUUGGCCUUUACUGAAGGAUUUGUAUCGAGACUGAAUUAUCUGAUGUAAUAAAUGUGUUCACUAGCCUUCUUGGGUCUGGUAUUUGUA